AUUUUCUCCUGCUGCUUAUGAGUAAACUCCCUGGUGCGUUCGCAAUUUAUUGUGAUCUAUUUUCCUCUUUCCAAUAAAGAUAAAUUUUACGGCCCCUCUCAAAGCGACCAAUGUGAAAAAAGCCUUCAGAGUGAUAUUAGUGACAAGUAAGGUGCACUGCAUACAGUUGGUACUAAAUACAUGAUACGUGACCGCAAAUUGUUUACUGUCCCACCAUUUUAACACAGGAAAUGCGGAACAAGAACUUACAAUGAGGAAGAGGUAGCAAGAAGUGGCCACGAGAAAAGGCAGUUACUGUUAUUUUUCUUCAACUCCUACUUCUGAUAGAUCCACAAAAAACUUGCUUUGCCUAACUAAAACUUUUAGUUUUAGUUAGGAACCAGGGCUGGAGGUCAGCUGAAGACGUAUUAAGAUAACCUCUGAGCACUGCCAAGAGUCACAUCCGGAUGUGGCUUUCUUCUCCAGCCUGUUGGUUCCCGUCAAUUUAUGCAACAGUCACCUCAAGCGUGUUGUGCCAUUUCACACCUUUGUCCUUCAUGGCCCCAUUGGCAUGGGACCUUCUACACAUUGUCGACAUAGAAAACCUGUCUUCACCUUUGCAAAAUUCGUCUCAGCAGCAGUAUACAGAUGAGAUAACAGAGGCUCAAUAACUCAGAAAAUUGGACCAGAGUGAAUUUUCAUAUCUCCAUUAAAAUUGACAUUCCUGUUGAUAUGAAACCCGAGACUGGCAAAAUGAACUGCAAUAAGACGGAAGAGUCCUCAUGGGCUGAGCUUGUCUUGAUGGGCACCUGCAUUCUUGUGACCUACGUAUAUCUCUGUCUUAGUAUUUAGCACUCUCUACUAUUCAGUGGUCUUGUACCCACUUUGGAAUAAAAGUUCUUUAAGGGCAGGGCUACGUCUUGUUCAUUAUUGUUUCCAUUGCACCUGCCAAAGAGUUAGUGCCCAAUAAAUGUUUGCUGAAUGAAGGGAUGAAUACAUGCAUAAGCUGGUACAUGCCAUGGGCUUCUAAAAUGACCCCUGGCCAACCCUACUGAUUGCCUUUUUCAUGCCUGGUUUGUUUUCAAAGAUUUCUCACAGGAACUCAAGCAAGUGAGUAAGAUCUUUCAAUCGUUCAUUCAUGACAACAGCAUUUUUUUUUUUUUUACUCAUGGGCAUGAACUAUUAAGACCUCUCAGAGGAAAUUAUUUUAAUUACAGAAAUCGGAACAGCUUAAUUGUAAAUGAGCAAUGUGAGCACUUUACAAAAGAGACCACUUGCUUUUUCUAUUUCUUUCACUUCUCUUUAAUAAUUACUAUAACUCACAGUAAAAAUGUUCCCAAGAUUUCAGUAUUCUGGCACACCUUUCUCUUCUAUUUAGAAGAAAUACAAGAUCAAGAAAAUCUACAGUGUCGAUGUUUGAAGACUAGACAAUCACACCUUUUUCUGCUAAUACCUCACUGAACUAAGUUGUGAUUGUAGAGUCAAUAAGCAUCUGGACACAAGAACAGUAAGACAUGAAGGGAACAUAUGCGUGAAAUAAUGGUUACUCCACUAACUAUGGAAACAGUAUAGACAUCUAUAUCUACAUAUAGAUAGGUGAUAGAGAUAUAAAUAGUUUGGAAAUCUGGAAUACAAAUGAAGAUCAUUACUCUUUGACAGAUCUCAAGCUACUACAUCACCUAGGUGAUAACUAAGGGAAUGCAUGGCUUCUCAGCCUAUACUGAGUCAUUAAUCUUUCAGUGGUCUACAAUGUCUUUCCACAUGAACAUCCCAACAAAAGGAGCUAUGGAUCUGUUGGGUACCCACAUGCACUAAGUAUUCAAUUUUUUUGUCAGGGUGGGGGGAGUGGAAUUCUGGAAGGACGUGUAUCUAAAGCCAUCAGAAAUUCAGGGUACUAUUUACAAUAAUGUGGGAGAGGGUACAGAGAUGGAUAAUAUCCCUCCCUGUUAUUCCAACCAUGACAGGAAUGAAAGAAAGGACAAAAGUAAUAUAACAGCAGCAAUAUUUUUUCAAUGUCUGUCACAUCCAAAUUGCAGCAGUACUUGCCGUGACAAAUACUGAAGACAGAAGGGUUGCUCCUUUGGGUACUAAGCUACAACCUCCAGGUGGAGGAGGUCCAUCGCACAGGAAAAUGUUGUGAAAACUUUAAAGGAAUAUAUGUAGAACUCCACAUGAACAUGGUAAAAGCUCAGUGUAGAGGUUCUGAAGAGGUUGAAUGGAAACAACAAAAACAAAACAAACAAAACCAAACACAUACACACACACACACACUCACACACACGCACGCACGCACCUGAUUAGGUGAAAAGAGAUUCCUGAAGACACCAGAAGUGGCAAUGGGCAGAUUUUAGCAAGUGUUGAAUGAAGUAAGAGAUGAUUUGAUGGGAAGAGGAAGCCAUAUGAUGGGUAAGAAACGUGGUGGAGAAAUUGUCCCAUAAGCUUUCAUGUGGGACAAAGCAGGAAUAUAUUUGCUGGAUUAAACUGGGCAUUGGAUUGGGACUUGGACGAUACAGGGUUGCAAGGUGAAUGCGCAACUGAAGACUUGAAACCUAGGCUGCCGACCCAGACCUGUCAAUCUCUUGUAGAUAGGGAUCUGGCAUUCAAGUCUGUUCCCAGCAGACAGCUAAGCGCUUAGUUAAACAUUCCUGAUUAUUGACAAGCAACAUACUGCUGGGAUUUACGAACAUGACGGUGACUUACUGAAAAUAGCAUGUGGUGACGGUAUGUUCUUAGGAUGCCCAAAAUAAGCAACAGAGCCUAAAGGCUGGGAAAGCCGCAUGGAGCGGACAGCAGCCUGCACUUCAGGUGACUGAAACUGAGCAAAUGGGAUGGGAGAGAUAUACAUGGAAAGCACCAUAGAGAGAAAAUGACCUAUAAUGGGCCACAAAGUGAUUGUGCUGCUCCAAAUUAUUAAGCUUUCUUCUUAAUAAAUUGGUUUGUAGAGUUGCUGAGUUUGGAAAAGGAAAUGCAACUGUAGAUGUUGGAAUGAAGACAGAGUAAGAAUUUGAGGCUGCAGAUAGAUAGAAGUUACCUACAAAGUUUCUCUCCACUGCAAAUACUCUGACAUAUCUGUAACCUCUCAAAUAGAUUUUUGACUCAGCAGUGAAAAGUAGAGAGAAAAAUGACACUGUACAGCUAAAAUUAUGGGAUGCUCACAUUAAAUUGCCUGCCCCUUGAAACUGAGUCAAAGUUGUGCUCAGAAAAACUGCUAACCUAAUAUUCUCUGCUCUCCUGAGGGAAGUGAUUUUAAAUCUCACAAUAAAUCAGUUUACAUAUUCUAAAUUAA
Long non-coding RNA from Leopardus geoffroyi (Geoffroy's cat), 3265 nucleotides. RefSeq lists it as uncharacterized. The record is from RefSeq and is a predicted model, not a curated record. NCBI's taxonomy places the organism in Eukaryota, Metazoa, Chordata, Mammalia, Carnivora, Felidae. The transcript is spliced from 3 exons.